GAUGAAGAACGUAGCGAAAUGCGAUAAGUAAUGUGAAUUGCAGAAUUCAGUGAAUCAUCGAAUCUUUGAACGCACAUUGCGCCCGUUAGCAUUCUAGCGGGCAUGCCUGUCCGAGCGUCAUUUCAACCCUCAGGGCCCCCGUUCCGGCGGGGAACCUGGUGUUGGGGAUCGGCCCGCCCCGUGCGGCGCCGUCCCCCAAAUUCAGUGGCGGUCUCGCUGCAGCCUCCCCUGCGUAGUAGUUACAACCUCGCAUCGGAGCUCAGCGCGGCCACGCCGUAAAACCCCCGACUUUCUGAACGUUGACCUCGGAUCAGGUAGGAAUACCCGCUGAACUUAAGCAUAUCAAUAAGCGGAGGA
RNAcentral lists this unclassified non-coding RNA (357 nucleotides) under soil metagenome. RNAcentral describes it as "partial contains 5.8S ribosomal RNA, internal transcribed spacer 2, and large subunit ribosomal RNA". The stretch from base 1 to 120 matches the Rfam family "5.8S ribosomal RNA", at positions 35 to 154 of the family's 154-position model. The record is from RNAcentral.